RNAcentral lists this ribosomal RNA (481 nucleotides) under uncultured bacterium. Its description in RNAcentral is "partial 16S ribosomal RNA". It matches the Rfam family "Bacterial small subunit ribosomal RNA", at positions 28 to 507 of the family's 1533-position model. The record is from RNAcentral.
GAUGAACGCUGGCGGCGUGCCUAACACAUGCAAGUCGAACGGAGAUUCCGGACGGAAGUUUUCGGAUGGAAGCCUGUAAUUCUUAGUGGCGGACGGGUGAGUAACGCGUGGGCAACCUGCCCUAUACAGGGGGAUAGCAGCUGGAAACGGCUGGUAAGACCGCAUAAGUCGGUUAAAUCGCAUGAUUUGAUCGGGAAAUGAGCAAUCAGGUAUAGGAUGGGCCCGCGUCCGAUUAGCCAGUUGGCAGGGUAAAAGCCUACCAAAGCGACGAUCGGUAGCCGGACGGGGAGGUCGGACGGCCACAUUGGGACUGAGACACGGCCCAAACUCCUACGGGAAGCAGCAGUGGGGGAUAUUGCACAAUGGAGGAAACUCUGAUGCAGCGACGCCGCGUGAGUGAAGAAGUAUUUCGGUAUGUAUAGCUCUAUCAGCAGGGAAGAUGGUGACGGUACCUGACUAAGAAGCCCCGGCUAACUACGUG